RNAcentral lists this ribosomal RNA (448 nucleotides) under uncultured bacterium. RNAcentral describes it as "bacterial SSU rRNA". It matches the Rfam family "Bacterial small subunit ribosomal RNA", at positions 329 to 792 of the family's 1533-position model. The record is from RNAcentral.
UGCCAGACUCCUACGGGAGGCAGCAGUAAGGGAUAUUGGUCAAUGGGGGAAACCCUGAACCAGCAACGCCGCGUGAGGGAAGACGGUUUUCGGAUUGUAAACCUCUGUCCUCUGUGAAGAUGAUGACGGUAGCAGAGGAGGAAGCUCCGGCUAACUACGUGCCAGCAGCCGCGGUAAUACGUAGGGAGCGAGCGUUGUCCGGAGUGGCUGGGUGUAAAGAGUUGCGUAGGUGGCAUAGUAAGUAGCUAGUGAAAUCUGGUGGCUCAACCAUUCAGACUAUUAGCUAAACUGCUAAGCUCGAGACCGUUAGGGGUAACUGGAAUUGCUAGUGUAGGAGUGAAAUCCGUAGAUAUUAGAAGGAACACCGAUAGCGUAGGCAGGUUACUGGGACGGUUCUGACACUAAGGCACGAAAGCGUGGGGAGCAAACAGGAUUAGAUACCCCGGUA